GAAACAAACACCUACUGGAUGCAGGUACAGGUAGACCAGCCCUGAGACCGCUCUUGGAUUGCACAGGGGAGCCAAGACUGGGAGCUGGGAGGAAAACUAAGAUUGUCUUCACCUAGGCUGUUUCUGCUUCUCAUUGCAAAGGAAGAUGUUAGAACAAUGGCUUCAAUUUAAAAUCUGACCUUUUAAAUGCCAAGCUGUGUGUUUACUUCUGUGUUGAAUGUACAGAUAAAAACACAUGCCUUUCUAAAAUUGACCCUGAAAACUAUGUUAUCUGAGAUGUCUUUCUUCCCAUCCAUCAUUACCUCUCAUAACUAUUCAGGACUAACUAGUUAUGAUCCCAAUUUCUAAUUUUGUCCUGACUUAUAUCUGGUGGUGAGAAACCCAUGGAGAACCUCCUAUGGAUCUGUUCUGUUGUAGAGGUUAGAACCUGAUUUAUCCAGAAGCUAGGGAGGACCUGAACUGGCUCUGGCAGUUCUGAAAUACAGAAAAAGUAGCAUACUUUAACAAAAGCAGUGCAUUCAAGGAGAAGAUGCAGGAAUCAGAGUGCUGGAGAAGCAGGUGGGCAUUGUGUUGCUGCUUCAGAGAGAAGAGUUUGCCUGAAGGAGAAGAGAAAGUCCCACUUAUCACUGUCCGCAUUCCCAUCCGGCUGCAGAAAGCUGUUACCACCGAUGAUGAGAUGCCUACCCAUCCUGACAGACAAUUGUUCAGUCUUAAGGAGCUUGGAAUUACUUCACAGCUUGAAAUUCCAGUAUAUUCCUUUGAAGAUCUAGGGAGAAAAUGUGGAACUCAAGAGCUUUCAGUGAAACCUUGUUCGCAUCUCCAUCAAGCUAAAGACAGGGAAUGAGUUCUCCUGUGAAAGAAAAUAUGGAGGAACCACAGUGCCCAAAACUCAGCAACAAUUUUAGGUAGUGCAGUCCAAAGGAAUAAUGAGAAUAUCCAGAAGUGGAAAUUUCAUAGGAAAAAAAGGAGGUAAGAAAGCACAAAUUUUUUGUUUCUGAUCUGAAUAUCACUGCUUUGUCCAGAAGGACCAUGGGUGCCACCCAUGGCUCCUGAUAGCAAAUGU
RNAcentral lists this long non-coding RNA (1063 nucleotides) under Calidris pugnax (ruff). RNAcentral's name for it is "lncRNA (ENSCPUG00000003503.1)". Lineage: Eukaryota; Metazoa; Chordata; Aves; Charadriiformes; Scolopacidae. The record is from RNAcentral.